AUUGGAGUUGAUGCUGGGCCCCAGCUCCCCUCCCAGUCACCACAAACUGUUGCACCUGCACUGCUCAGAAAUGCAGAUGGCUGCAACCAGCAAGCCUGAGUUCAGCUUUGCAGGGCCUGAGGCAGUGAGGUGUCCUUGAUUGCCAGGCCUGGAGAGGAAUUGUUGAGUCUGCCCCAAAUGGGAAAGCAGCAGCUCACAUUGUGUGUGGAGUUUGAAGUUACACACUAAAGAACUGCAGGAUUACAAAUAUAUUAAAAGUAUACAAGCUAAAAUCCUCAGGCAUCACCAUCCUUGUGAUAACACCUGGACAACUUUAAACCAGAAGAUUUCUACACACAUUGCAUGGCUGGCAAAUCAUCCUCUGUCUGCUGGAAACCAACCUUUGGGGAAGGGAAGACAGACCCAAGUCAGAAAAGCUGCAUUCCCCUCAAGAGCCCACUGUCUGGAAAUGGAAUCUUCAAGCAGACUGAAGUUCAUCCUCUGUGGCUCAGACUCUGAAAAGUGACGACAUGCAGGUAAAACAUCUUUUGGGCAAGUGCCUGCACAGGGGUGAAUUCAACACCUCCCACUCCCUGGCAGAACUUGUUUAUUAGGAGACUUGUUUAUUCUGAGAGUUAGGAGGAGGAGGAGAAUCAGAAUUUUCCUGUCUGCACCUCUCAGAGCCAGAGAAAUGGAUGGUGCUGGAUGGAACAUUUGGUUCCUGUGAGGCGCUGACACCGCCUCGGUGGCGAUACGAGACACCAGGAAUGGAAAUGCACUUCUCCAGGAGAGGGAAAAGCUUGUGAGCUCAGACUUGACAAUAAUUCACCUGGCUGCGUGUCUGGCCCUGAGCCCCAGGAUCCCUUCCCAGCUCUGCUUUGCAUUUUGCAAAUUGUUUCAAGAACUGCCCGGUUUUCAUGGGCCUGUCCGGGGUGAUGGAUGGCUGGGGACGCCCAGCGAGGAUAUCUGUCUCCAGCAGGGCUCUGUGAGUCAGCUACCCCAUGUCUAGCUGCUACUUUUCUGCCUUAAAAGCCUCAAUAUUCUCCACUCAGCUCACCUUCCUGCUCUUUGCUGGUCUCCAGAUCCAUUAGUCUGUCUGGGCUGGUGCCCAUUAAACUGCUGAACGUGGGCUACUCCCAGCAAUCUUAUCAGAGCUGCUGCUAUUAAAGGCAGAAAUAGGAAGAAACUGAGUCACCAGUGCAGGCAGUCUGGCACUUGGAUUUAGACAGAAGUUUUGUCAAGGCUUGUUCUUGUUUGUGGAGAGCCACAGAAGCUGCUGUGGACAAUAUUUGAUUGCUGUGCCAGUGAUGAUUAAUAAAUAGUUGGCUAAUUGAAUCC
Molecule: long non-coding RNA, 1317 nt
Organism: Zonotrichia leucophrys gambelii
Lineage: Eukaryota; Metazoa; Chordata; Aves; Passeriformes; Passerellidae
Exons: 3
Source: RefSeq, a predicted model, not a curated record